GAUGAACGCUGGCGGCGUGCCUAAUACAUGCAAGUCGAGCGAACAGACGAGGCGCUUGCUCCUCUGACGUUAGCGGCGGACGGGUGAGUAACACGUGGAUAACCUACCUAUAAGACUGGGAUAACUUCGGGAAACCGGAGCUAAUACCGGAUAAUAUAUUGAACCGCAUGGUUCAAUAGUGAAAGACGGUUUUGCUGUCACUUAUAGAUGGAUCCGCGCCGCAUUAGCUAGUUGGUAAGGUAACGGCUUACCAAGGCAACGAUGCGUAGCCGACCUGAGAGGGUGAUCGGCCACACUGGAACUGAGACACGGUCCAGACGCAUACGGGAGGCAGCAGUAGGGAAUCGUCCGCAAUGGGCGAAAGCCUGACGGAGCAACGCCGCGUGAGUGAUGAAGGUCGUCGGAUCGUAAAACUCUGUUAUUAGGGAAGAACAAAUGUGUAAGUAACUAUGCACGUCUUGACGGUACCUAAUCAGAAAGCCACGGCUAACUACGUG
RNAcentral lists this ribosomal RNA (497 nucleotides) under uncultured bacterium. RNAcentral's name for it is "partial 16S ribosomal RNA". It matches the Rfam family "Bacterial small subunit ribosomal RNA", at positions 28 to 507 of the family's 1533-position model. The record is from RNAcentral.